GAUGAACGCUGGCGGCGUGCCUAAUACAUGCAAGUCGAGCGAACAGACGAUGAGCUUGCUCCUCUGACGGUAGCGGCGGACGGGUGAGUAACACGUGGAUAACCUACCUAUAAGACGGGGAUAACUUCGGGAAACCGGAUCUAAUACCGGAUAAUAUAUUGAACCGCAUGGUUCAAUAGUUAAAGACGGUUUUGCUGUCACUUAUAGAUGGAUCCGCGCCGCAUUAGCUAGUUGGUAAGGUAACGGCUUACCAAGGCAACGAUGCGUAGCCGACCUGAGAGGAUGAUCGGCCACACUGGAACUGAGACACGGUCCAGACUCCUACGGGAGGCAGCAGUGGGGAAGAUUGGACAAUGGGCGCAAGCCUGACCCAGCAAUACCGCGUGAGUGAAGAAGGCCUUCGGGUUGUAAAGCCCUUUUGUUGGAAAAGAAAAGCAGCAGGUUAAUAACCCGCUGUUCUGACGGUACCCAAAGAAUAAGCACCGGCUAACUUCGUG
RNAcentral lists this ribosomal RNA (497 nucleotides) under uncultured bacterium. RNAcentral describes it as "partial 16S ribosomal RNA". It matches the Rfam family "Bacterial small subunit ribosomal RNA", at positions 28 to 507 of the family's 1533-position model. The record is from RNAcentral.